Molecule: ribosomal RNA, 460 nt
Filed under: uncultured bacterium
Lineage: Bacteria
Description: partial 16S ribosomal RNA
Rfam family: Bacterial small subunit ribosomal RNA
Source: RNAcentral
CCUACGGGUGGCAGCAGUGAGGAAUAUUGGUCAAUGGACGGAAGUCUGAACCAGCCAUGCCGCGUGCAGGAUGACGGCUCUAUGAGUUGUAAACUGCUUUUGUACGAGAAUAAUAGUUCUUACGUGUAGGGAUUUGAAUGUAUCUUACGAAUAAGGAUCGGCUAACUCCGUGCCAGCAGCCGCGGUAAUACGGAGGAUUCGAGCGUUAUCCGGAUUUAUUGGGUUUAAAGGGUGCGUAGGUGGUUUGAUAAGUGAGAGGUCAAAUUUUGGGGCUCAACCCUGUGACUGCCUCUGAUACUGGUAGACUUGAGAGCGGAUGCAGCAGGCGGAAUGAGUAGUGUAGCGGUGAAAUGCUUAGAUAUUACUCAGAACACCGAUUGCGCAGGCAGCUUGCUAAUCCGCAUCUGACGCUGAUGCUCGAAAGCGUGGGUAGCGAACAGGAUUAGAUACCCCAGUAGUC